UACGUAGGGGGCAAGCGUUGUCCGGAAUCAUUGGGCGUAAAGAGCGUGUAGGCGGCCCGGUAAGUCCGCUGUGAAAGUCCAGGGCUCAACCCUGGGAUGCCGGUGGAUACUGUCGGGCUCGAGUCCGGAAGAGGAGUGUGGAAUUCCUGGUGUAGCGGUGAAAUGCGCAGAUAUCAGGAGGAACACCAGUGGCGAAGGCAGCACUCUGGGACGUGACUGACGCUGAGACGCGAAAGCGUGGGGAGCAAACAGG
This 253-nucleotide ribosomal RNA is filed under the name uncultured bacterium. RNAcentral's name for it is "partial 16S ribosomal RNA". It matches the Rfam family "Bacterial small subunit ribosomal RNA", at positions 524 to 776 of the family's 1533-position model. The record is from RNAcentral.